Long non-coding RNA from Thunnus maccoyii (southern bluefin tuna), 224 nucleotides. RefSeq lists it as uncharacterized. Lineage: Eukaryota; Metazoa; Chordata; Actinopteri; Scombriformes; Scombridae. The transcript has 3 exons. The record is from RefSeq and is a predicted model, not a curated record.
UUCAUGGCUGACAGGAUGCUGGAGUAAUCUCUGAGAUCGUCACGACCGUCACACUGUGUACAUUUACCCUGGAAGGCAUCAUGUUACCAUGCUAACAAGACAACAUGCUAGCUAACUAUGAGCAUGACAUGCUAAAUCUGUAAACACACCAUGGUGAGGUAGGAGUAGUCUGUGGCGAGGCCCAGGCCCAGCUUGGCCUUCAUCUCUGGAGCCAUCCCCCUCAA